RNAcentral lists this long non-coding RNA (267 nucleotides) under Mytilus galloprovincialis (Mediterranean mussel). The record is from RNAcentral. Lineage: Eukaryota; Metazoa; Mollusca; Bivalvia; Mytilida; Mytilidae.
UUCAUAAAUAAAAAGAAAAUUUCUUCAAACUUUUUUUGAGAGGAUUAAUAUUCAACAGCAUAGUGAAUUGCUCUAAGAGAAAACAAAAAAUUUAAGUUUAUUAGAACACAUUCAUUCUGUGUCAGAAACCUAUGCUGUGUCAACUAUUUAAUCACAAUCCAAAUUUAGAGCUGAAUCCAGCUUGAAUGUUGUGUCCAUACUUGCCCCAACCGUUCAGGGUUCAACCUCUGCGGUCGUAUAAAGCUACGCCCUGCGGAGCAACUGGUU